This 517-nucleotide ribosomal RNA is filed under the name uncultured bacterium. RNAcentral describes it as "bacterial SSU rRNA". It matches the Rfam family "Bacterial small subunit ribosomal RNA", at positions 9 to 526 of the family's 1533-position model. The record is from RNAcentral.
GAGUUUGAUCCUGGCUCAGGAUGAACGCUGGCGGCGUGCUUAACACAUGCAAGUCGAGCGAAGCACUUAAGUUUGAUUCUUCGGAUGAAGACUUUUGUGACUGAGCGGCGGACGGGUGAGUAACGCGUGGGUAACCUGCCUCAUACAGGGGGAUAACAGUUAGAAAUGGCUGCUAAUACCGCAUAAGACCACAGUACUGCAUGGUACAGUGGUAAAAACUCCGGUGGUAUGAGAUGGACCCGCGUCUGAUUAGGUAGUUGGUGAGGUAACGGCCCACCAAGCCGACGAUCAGUAGCCGACCUGAGAGGGUGACCGGCCACAUUGGGACUGAGACACGGCCCAGACUCCUACGGGAGGCAGCAGUGGGGAAUAUUGCACAAUGGGCGAAAGCCUGAUGCAGCGACGCCGCGUGAAGGAUGAAGUAUUUCGGUAUGUAAACUUCUAUCAGCAGGGAAGAAAAUGACGGUACCUGACUAAGAAGCCCCGGCUAACUACGUGCCAGCCGCCGCGGUAAUUC